This 550-nucleotide ribosomal RNA is filed under the name uncultured beta proteobacterium. Its description in RNAcentral is "bacterial SSU rRNA". It matches the Rfam family "Bacterial small subunit ribosomal RNA", at positions 38 to 581 of the family's 1533-position model. The record is from RNAcentral. Lineage: Bacteria; Pseudomonadati; Pseudomonadota; Betaproteobacteria.
GGCGGAAUGCUUUACACAUGCAAGUCGAGCGGCAGCGCGGGGCAACCUGGCGGCGAGCGGCGAACGGGUGAGUAAUGCAUCGGAACAUGUCCAUUCGUGGGGGAUAGCCCGGCGAAAGCCGGAUUAAUACCGCAUACGCCCCGAGGGGGAAAGCGGGGGACUUCGCAAGAGGCCUCGCGCGAAUGGGUUGGCCGAUGUCCGAUUAGCUAGUUGGUGGGGUAAAGGCUUACCAAGGCGGUGAUCGGUAGCUGGUCUGAGAGGAUGAUCAGCCACACUGGGACUGAGACACGGCCCAGACUCCUACGGGAGGCAGCAGUGGGGAAUUUUGGACAAUGGGGGAAACCCUGAUCCAGCCAUUCCGCGUGAGUGAAGAAGGCCUUCGGGUUGUAAAGCUCUUUUGUCCGGAGCGAAACGGUUAGCGUGAAUAGCGCUGACUACUGACGGUACCGGAAGAAUAAGCACCGGCUAACUACGUGCCAGCAGCCGCGGUAAUACGUAGGGUGCGAGCGUUAAUCGGAAUUACUGGGCGUAAAGCGUGCGCAGGCGGUUU